RNAcentral lists this ribosomal RNA (275 nucleotides) under Callonaia duprei. RNAcentral's name for it is "partial 16S ribosomal RNA". The record is from RNAcentral. Lineage: Eukaryota; Metazoa; Mollusca; Bivalvia; Unionida; Hyriidae.
UAGAGGCCAGUGAAAGGCAACACAUAGGACCACCUAUAUCUAAUGUGUCAAAAAAACUUUACCUUUGAGUGAAAAGGCUCAACUAACGAAAAAAGACGAAAAGACCCCGCGGAGCUUUACUCAAAAGCCACAGAUCAUAUAAAAUCAACACCAAGAGUUUGGUUGGGGCAACCUUGGAACAAACAAUCUUCCAAUCACCUCUCUGCAAGACAUACAAAACCUCUUACGGACUAAAAAGAAGCUACCCCGGGGAUAACAGCGUGAUCCAACUUAAA